GGGGAUGUAUAGUCUCGACAGGAUUGCUCUUUAAAAAACUGCAAGCCGCUUAGGAAACAUUAAGCGUUAAAUAUUGUUUCAAAACACAAACGGCACAGCAUAUGUUGUCCGUGAUGCCAUAAAAAUGGCUAAACAAGAAGUUGCAGGAGUCUUUGCUUCCUUAACAGGGGCUUUUACCUCUCAAUCUCUUGCUUUUGCUGAAGUUUAAAGCAUCUACUUUAGAUUUUCUCCUCUUUUUGACGGGAGACUAAGGUACGUACAAAGUCAAAAUGCUGUUAAUACAAUUCUGAUCGAUCAGUAUUAACAAAAGAAAGUUUGGUCAUUCAUUAGUUUUCCUGCUAAUCGGUUACAACUAAUGAACAAAAAUUAAUUAGCUAAGCUUGUAGAAGUUUUUUUAGUUGUAAUUUUGGACUCGGCUCACAGCCGACAUCUCCACCA
RNAcentral lists this transfer-messenger RNA (438 nucleotides) under Patescibacteria group bacterium. It matches the Rfam family "transfer-messenger RNA". Rfam says of the family: Bacterial tmRNA, also known as 10Sa RNA or SsrA, is named for its dual tRNA and mRNA-like properties. The record is from RNAcentral.